Molecule: long non-coding RNA, 1211 nt
Organism: Helianthus annuus (common sunflower)
Lineage: Eukaryota; Viridiplantae; Streptophyta; Magnoliopsida; Asterales; Asteraceae
Exons: 3
Source: RefSeq, a predicted model, not a curated record
AUUUUGCAGCCGACACCAUCUUGUUCCCUCCUAAUCUUUUUUGUGUUCAAUCUAUGAACAAGUAAUACACACACUUGAAACAUCUCUCAAAACCUCUCUCCCUCUCUGAGUUAUAUAUGCAGACAACAACACUCACACAAGACUCUACACAGCCACCACAUCUUCACCGAGACCCCUGCCCCAUCAUCUCUCUCGCUCGAUCUCCGGCAACCGGAGCUACUCCGGCGGCGGUCCCGUUACCAACCACACCCUCACAACCCUCCUCUCUUCAUCAAUAACUUCACCUCUUCACACCCCCCCCUGUUCGAUCUCCGGCCACCACCAUUGCAGUGAUGGCGCACGCGAAGAGAAAGAGCGACGACGGCUGCGACGCCGUCAUCCGCGGCGGCGUGGGAUUUCGGGUUGAGCUUGUUCGAGUUUUCAGGUAUGAGUGUCUCAGGUUUCGGUUCACGUCAGUUCGUUUCCGGCUCCGACUACAGUGACAAUGAUGGUUAUUUCAGUUCAAGAUGGGGGCUUUAUUUUCGGUUCGGUUCAGGUUAGUCAGAUUUCGAAUAUUAUUCGGUUGAUUUUCAGUUUCAUUUCAGAAUCGAGUUUCGUUUGGUUCAGGUCCCGGGUCAGGUUUCACGUACAGUUCUGAUUCAAGAUUAUUUUGAUUCGAGUUCGAUCGGACUCGGGUUUUGGUUCUGUCACAGCACGAGUCAACGUGGUGUGUUGGCUCGGUUCAGAUUCGCAUUCGAAUUCAGUCCAGUAUAUCAUUUCAUUCCUUCAUUUAAAUGCUCUUUGGACUUUGUAAAUGGAAACAAAAUAAAGGCACUUAUAUAUAACAACAUGAUUUCGUUUUGGGUUCCAGUUGGUUCAGGUUCUAAUUAGAUUAUGUGUUGUGUUCAGUCGGGUUCCGGGUUAAUUCUGAUUUCGGCUCAGAGUUGGUUCGGAUCCAGUCAACACUGGUCUAACCGGUCAUAUUCGUUUUUCGGAGUCGCAAUCGUAACAACUCAUAACCUCGAGACUUCGGUUUUCCUUCCUCCUAAUCUCGUACACUCGUCAACACUUGGAUAAUCGGAAGACUUAGCAAUUAUGUUGACAGUCAAGAUGUUGAAGAAUCAAGUUAGGAUGGACUAGAUACCCAUUUUAAUAAUAAACCAUGUUUGUUGCAAUUUGUCAUUAUUUGAAUCAAUGUAUUUGAAUUUAGUCAUUUAUGAAAUUUGAUUUAA